Molecule: ribosomal RNA, 443 nt
Filed under: uncultured bacterium
Lineage: Bacteria
Description: partial 16S ribosomal RNA
Rfam family: Bacterial small subunit ribosomal RNA
Source: RNAcentral
CCUACGGGUGGCAGCAGUGGGGGAUAUUGGACAAUGGGGGGAACCCUGAUCCAGCGACGCCGCGUGAGUGAAGAAGUAUUUCGGUAUGUAAAGCUCUGUCAGCAGGGAAGAAAGCAAUGACGGUACCUGACCAAGAAGCCCCGGCUAACUACGUGCCAGCAGCCGCGGUAAUACGUAGGGGGCAAGCGUUAUCCGGAAUUACUGGGUGUAAGGGGAGCGUAGACGGCUGUGCAAGUCUGGAGUGAAAGGCGGGGGCCCAACCCCCGGACUGCUCUGGAAACUGGAUGGCUGGAGUGCAGGGGAGGUAAGCGGAAUUCGUAGUGUAGCGGUGAAAUGCGUAGAUAUUAGGAGGAACACCAGUGGCGAAGGCGGCUUACUGGACUGUAACUGACGUUGAGGCUCGAAAGCGUGGGGAGCAAACAGGAUUAGAUACCCGUGUAGUC